AAAUUGAAGAGUUUGAUCAUGGCUCAGAUUGAACGCUGGCGGCAGGCCUAACACAUGCAAGUCGAGCGGCAGCGACAACAUUGAACCUUCGGGGGAUUUGUUGGGCGGCGAGCGGCGGACGGGUGAGUAAUGCCUAGGAAAUUGCCCUGAUGUGGGGGAUAACCAUUGGAAACGAUGGCUAAUACCGCAUGAUGCCUACGGGCCAAAGAGGGGGACCUUCGGGCCUCUCGCGUCAGGAUAUGCCUAGGUGGGAUUAGCUAGUUGGUGAGGUAAGGGCUCACCAAGGCGACGAUCCCUAGCUGGUCUGAGAGGAUGAUCAGCCACACUGGAACUGAGACACGGUCCAGACUCCUACGGGAGGCAGCAGUGGGGAAUAUUGCACAAUGGGCGCAAGCCUGAUGCAGCCAUGCCGCGUGUGUGAAGAAGGCCUUCGGGUUGUAAAGCACUUUCAGUCGUGAGGAAGGUAGUGUAGUUAAUAGCUGCAUUAUUUGACGUUAGCGACAGAAGAAGCACCGGCUAACUCCGUGCCAGCAGCCGCGGUAAUACGGAGGGUGCGAGCGUUAAUCGGAAUUACUGGGCGUAAAGCGCAUGCAGGUGGUUUGUUAAGUCAGAUGUGAAAGCCCGGGGCUCAACCUCGGAAUUGCAUUUGAAACUGGCAGACUAGAGUACUGUAGAGGGGGUAGAAUUUCAGGUGUAGCGGUGAAAUGCGUAGAGAUCUGAAGGAAUACCGGUGGCGAAGGCGGCCCCCUGGACAGAUACUGACACUCAGAUGCGAAAGCGUGGGGAGCAAACAGGAUUAGAUACCCUGGUAGUCCACGCCGUAAACGAUGUCUACUUGGAGGUUGUGGCCUUGAGCCGUGGCUUUCGGAGCUAACGCGUUAAGUAGACCGCCUGGGGAGUACGGUCGCAAGAUUAAAACUCAAAUGAAUUGACGGGGGCCCGCACAAGCGGUGGAGCAUGUGGUUUAAUUCGAUGCAACGCGAAGAACCUUACCUACUCUUGACAUCCAGAGAACUUUCCAGAGAUGGAUUGGUGCCUUCGGGAACUCUGAGACAGGUGCUGCAUGGCUGUCGUCAGCUCGUGUUGUGAAAUGUUGGGUUAAGUCCCGCAACGAGCGCAACCCUUAUCCUUGUUUGCCAGCGAGUAAUGUCGGGAACUCCAGGGAGACUGCCGGUGAUAAACCGGAGGAAGGUGGGGACGACGUCAAGUCAUCAUGGCCCUUACGAGUAGGGCUACACACGUGCUACAAUGGCGCAUACAGAGGGCGGCCAACUUGCGAAAGUGAGCGAAUCCCAAAAAGUGCGUCGUAGUCCGGAUUGGAGUCUGCAACUCGACUCCAUGAAGUCGGAAUCGCUAGUAAUCGUGGAUCAGAAUGCCACGGUGAAUACGUUCCCGGGCCUUGUACACACCGCCCGUCACACCAUGGGAGUGGGCUGCAAAAGAAGUAGGUAGUUUAACCUUCGGGGGGACGCUUACCACUUUGUGGUUCAUGACUGGGGUGAAGUCGUAACAAGGUAGCGCUAGGGGAACCUGGCGCUGGAUCACCUCCUUA
This 1552-nucleotide ribosomal RNA is filed under the name Vibrio parahaemolyticus. Its description in RNAcentral is "bacterial SSU rRNA". It matches the Rfam family "Bacterial small subunit ribosomal RNA". The record is from RNAcentral. Lineage: Bacteria; Pseudomonadati; Pseudomonadota; Gammaproteobacteria; Vibrionales; Vibrionaceae.